Molecule: long non-coding RNA, 1170 nt
Organism: Amphimedon queenslandica
Lineage: Eukaryota; Metazoa; Porifera; Demospongiae; Haplosclerida; Niphatidae
Exons: 3
Source: RefSeq, a predicted model, not a curated record
CACUCCUCCUACCUUGCACUGUUGCGGUUUGAUCAAAAAGAAAGUUGAGAUGUCCGAGCCUUUUCGUUUAAGCAUCAAUCAUUUGUCAUUAAUCAGAGAUAUAUUAAAAGAUACCAACUUUGAUGAGACAAAAUGGUAUGGUAAAUACCAAAAUGGUAGACAAAUGGUGCGGUUUGAUCAAAAGAAAGUUGAGAUGUCUGAGCCUUUUCGCUUAAACGAGAAGGUGCGGUAUAAAAGGCGGGGCCCUGGGCAUGGUGGCUUCCAUUUUAUUCAAGUGUAAAAAUGUCGGUUCUAGAUGAUGUUGCUUCUUCAAGGAAAAACGCAGGAAGAAAGGGGUUUUGGUACCAAAUGGACUUCCAUUUUACUCUCAAAGAAGACAAGGACCAGUUCUAGUUAGGCUUGAUCGAGUUAAGGGGUCUUUAGGCACUAAAAGAAGGCGCUGGAACUGCUGUCUCAUUUACUCGCCGAUUUAGUUGAAAAAGAGAAUCAUUCUGAGGCUCUAUCACAUGAUACUAGUAGUUCUUCUGCUAUGCUCAAUACUUCAGGUAUAGGUGAUGGGGACCCUUGUAAAAAUUCCCAGCAAGAUCUUACAAGAUAAUCAUUGAUAUUUUAGGAUGUUACAAGGAAUUGCAAGAUUAUAAUUCUUGUGUAAUCUUGCCUGGCAAAAUCUUGUGAAAUCUUAACCGGGAUUUUUCAUGAUUUUUAAGCAUUGGGGAAGUUGUGUGAUCUCAUAAGAUCACAUUUCAAAAGAAAACAUAAGAUCUUGUGUUUAUUGUAAAUCAUGUAAGAUCAUGCAAUAUCACAUUAUUAUUAUAUUACAGUAAGAUCUCACAAGAUCAUGUGUACAUUUAACUUAAGUGAUCUUGUGUGACUUUGUAAGAAAUAUUGUAUCAUUUCAUAUGCAAGAAAAGACAAGAUCUUGUGUUUAUGUAAAUCAUGUAAGAUCAUGCAAUAUCUCGUUAUUAUUGUUCUACAGUAAGAUCUCACAAGAUCAUGUGUACAUUUAACUUAAGUGAUCUUACAUGACUUUGUAAGAAAUAUUGUAUCAUUUCAUAUGCAAGAAAAGACAAGAUCUUGUGUUUAUGUAAAUCAUGUAAGAUCAUGCAAUAUCUCGUUAUUAUUGUUCUACAGUAAGAUCUCACAAGAUCAUGUGUACAUUUAACUUAAGUG